RNAcentral lists this ribosomal RNA (495 nucleotides) under uncultured bacterium. RNAcentral describes it as "partial 16S ribosomal RNA". It matches the Rfam family "Bacterial small subunit ribosomal RNA", at positions 28 to 507 of the family's 1533-position model. The record is from RNAcentral.
GACGAACGCUGGCGGCGUGCCUAAUACAUGCAAGUAGAACGCUGAAGGAGGAGCUUGCUCUUCUGGAUGAGUUGCGAACGGGUGAGUAACGCGUAGGUAACCUGCCUGGUAGCGGGGGAUAACUAUUGGAAACGAUAGCUAAUACCGCAUAACAGUAGAUGUUGCAUGACAUUUACUUAAAAGGUGCAAUUGCAUCACUACCAGAUGGACCUGCGUUGUAUUAGCUAGUUGGUGGGGUAACGGCUCACCAAGGCGAGGAUACAUAGCCGACCUGAGAGGGUGAUCGGCCACACUGGGACGGGGACACGGCACAGACUCAUACGGGAGGCAGCAGUAGGGAAUCUGCGGCAAUGGACGGAAGUCAGACCGAGCAACGCCGCGUGAGUGAAGAAGGUUGUCGGAUCGUAAAGCUCUGUUGUAAGAGAAGAACGAGUGUGAGAGUGGAAAGUUCACACUGUGACGGUAUCUUACCAGAAAGAGACGGCUAACUACGUG